CACUCGAGGAGCCCAUGUUCUUCUGGGUACUAGGCUCCUGGGUGAACUCUGAAGUACCAACUAAGAGCCCUGAGUGAUGGGAGAUGAUGGAACUGUUGACCACCAUGGAAGAUUCCUCUGGCUGCAGGCUGGCAGAUGUCUAGGUUCCUGAUACUCUGGGAUGCUGUCCUGACUACCAAAGGAUAUGCCCUCUGCAGUUUUCCAUGCAGCUAACUGACUUUGCCCAUGCAGAAUCCUGCCAGGAUCAUCACAAGAAGUUUGAAAAGAGCGUUGCUCCAGUUCUUCAGUGACUUCUGUCUUCAGAUGAGUUGGCCUCACUGUCACCUGCUGAGACGCAUCAGUCUUAGAAUUCUGGCCUUGUGACAACUUGGGUUUGGAAUCUGUGCAGAAGGCCAGCGUGUCUGGAUCCCCUGUGUUAGGUUGUCUUUUUAAAGAACUGCCAUGAGGCGAACGAGAGAACUUUUUGGCAAUAUCUCUGGCCCUAGCUGCCAGCACCCUCUGAUGUUUUUUUGAUGCCUUGCUUGGAGGUGUUGGUUUGGAUUCUGUCUGAAAAGUCGUAAUUACUUUCCCAUGCCCAGCUGCUUGCUCGGCUCCACUGAGGAGAGCGCUCAUUCCUUCUGGGGAAGCAGCAGCUGCACCAAUUCUGCAUGGGGCUGCAAGGAAGACUGCAGGAUGACAGUGUAAUUACCCAAGCUGCCACACAGCCUCAGCCAAAAGGAUGCCUCUGCUAAGCACAUUUUUCAAGUUCCCUGGGUAACUCCAGCAUCCCCUAGAUACUGCCUGGUCACCACCUACUUUGCCAGGACUCUUCUGUACCCUCUGCUCUCCCUGGCAGUUGUCCUCUGCUAUCUCAGGGCCUCACAGUCUGCAGCAGGAUUUAGCAGUGGUUACUAUUACUGUAGCAGCAGUGAGAGCUUCUUCUGGGAUCUAGACAUUUAAAGAUCAGAUGUGAGCUCUCAGCUACUGCCCCAGUGCCAUGCCGAUCUGCCUGCCUGCUGCCUGAGGGUCAUGGACUAACCCUCUGAAAACAUAAGGAAGCCCCCAAUUAAAUGAUUUUUUAAAAUAAGUUGCCUUGGUCAUGGUGUCUCUUCAGAGCAACAGAAUAAUAACUAAGACACACUCUAAAUCUGGGCCACACCUUCUGGUGUCAGCCUGUAUCAAGGGACAUUGAAAGAAGCUCCUUGGCUUUUUGCUUGCUUGUCCUCACUCCUGCUGGCAAGCCCAUCUGCUCUGCUGCUAAGGCAUUCCUUCCCUGGUGUUACAACCUACUUCUUCAGGAUUCCAGUUGAGACUUAAGACUGUGGACUGAACAACUACUGGAUUCUUCUGGGAGGCUGCCACUGUUUGACCAGCUCUAAGCCACUCUAAUAAAUUCCCCCUCCACACUCCCAUUUUAUCAGUUUUAUUUCUCUGAAGAACCCUAACUAAUACAAUAGGUUAAAACUCCAUGUUAAUUUAGGGACUCUUGACAAUAGAGUACAUUUCCCCCAAAAGGACAAGGGCCACAUAAUAUCGUGAAACUACGACAGAAAGGUGAUGAGCUCUCAGAUAACUUCGGUGGCCCUUUGUUUGCUGUUCUUACUUUUGCCUCUUUCCACAGGCAGUUGGUGACCCUUAUCACAAGGUACCAGCCCUCUCUGCUCUAUCCACUCUUCCUGUCCCACCGAGGAGCUUUCCAAUGUGGCCCAAGAGAAAACUGCUGGUAGUGUAUUACCAAGGGACUAGUUUCAGGUCUGUGACCAAGUGAACAACUUAAUAAAAAUGUAAAGACUCUUGGGUCAUUAUUAUUGUAUAGUUAUUUAAGCCACAAUCAAAACAAAUCAUAAAAAUAAUAUGGGGAUGGGGCUGAAGAGAUGGCUCAGUGAUUAAGAGCACUGGCUGCUGUUUUUUUCAGAGGACCUCAGUUCAACUCUCAGCACCCACGUAGCUCACAACUGUGUUUACUCCCAUACCAGGUGAUCCAAUGUCCCCACAUUGCCUCUGUGAGCAUCGGGCACACACAGGCUACACAGGCAUACAUACAAGAAAAACACCCAUAAAAUAAAAAACACAAAACAAGAACAAAAAAGAAUAUGGGUCCAUAAAGUACAGAAAUGCGAGAAUUAGAAAUUAACUAAAAUGUCGCUUCACUGGUCUACCGAUGCACCACGGAGCAGGGAGGCUGUGAACUCACUAAAUGAGAAUUAACAACCCUGCCUCCAGGUCUGAUUCAAACGUAGCCAUGGCUCUUAACCCUCUGCUGCUACCACAAGCUUUCCCACCUCACAUCUCACUUCCUCUCCUCACUCCAGAUUCCAUCAGUGAUUCAGAAAAGUUCCACCCAGAUGGUGACGUUUUAACAGAUCUGGUCUCUCCUGAUCCCUAACCUCUCCCUAUGGUUCUGAAUGAUGGAAAGAUCUAAUUAGUUUCUGGUGUUUAGAUGUGUUAAGGUAAAUUAGGCAAGCACUUCUGCCUGAAGCAUUUCAACAAGACAAUGUAUGUAAAAUGCAAUGCACACCAGAAAGUAAAUUACUUGAGCUUUCCACCUGAGUGCUCAAAGGACUUACUUAUCCGUGCACACCGAGGAGCUUGGCUAACAUCUUUCCAAAUAUCCCAGACAAACAGCCUGAUUCCUCCAGAGAUGGCAGCAAUGCACAUCUUUUAUUUGUUCUUUUAUGAUGUCUUCUGUAGACAUUAAUGAGAACAGAAUUGAAGCUUCUGUAAGUACAGGAAUAUUGGCCAUGUGAAAUGUGUUUUUCCAUCCACAGGACUAAAGAUCAUUUUUGAAGGGGAUAGGCAGGUUGUCAACUCUUGAAAUUAUCCAUUUGGAAAUGAGGGUUGGCCAGGGCUCUUAUUUGGAGAGCCUAGACUUUUACUUUUUCUAGAUGAAUGCUUAUCAUCACCACCGGAGUUCCUUAGACCCUCCCUCAUGCCGUCUGCUUCCUCUGUCUUUCUCCCUCUUCUUCUCUAGGAAGUGCUGUGAUGGGGGUGGGGUGGAGGGCAGGCACUUGUCCUUGUUGACUCCCAGGUUGAAUGAAAGACAGUGUGAGAAGAAAACUCUCUAGUCUCUUGAAUUUGCCCAUGUUUAAGCAGCCUGUAUUUGUAGUUUAGAAGUUCUGACAUUGUCUUCUUCAGAAAUAAACUGGCCUCAGACUCAAAGGAGCUUCCUGGGUCACCUUCCUGAGCAGCUUAUACUAAUUAUAUUUCUGAGGUUAGGAUUGCUCUCCUUAUUGCACUACUGUGCUCCAGGAAGCCAGAAAAGCAAUGUAAGAGGUUCUAUUCUUACCUUAACAUGAAGAAAUUCAGGCACAGAAAUAAACGAGUUACAGGAAAGCAUCGGCAGCAGUGGAAAACAAACAAUCAUUCUGAUCUCUGGCUUCCUCUAGCCAUUUGCACAAACCCAAACAAGUCCCACCUGUGGCUGGAUCAGAUUCCUGAGCACAAGUCCUAAGGCAGCUCUGAGCCCUUGGUCUGGUCCCUAAGAACAUGGCUAUGACGUCAGGUUUCCUCCCUUCACUUUGGGCCAGUGCUCAGGAAGAGGAGCUGCACCAGCC
Long non-coding RNA from Alexandromys fortis (reed vole), 3533 nucleotides. RefSeq lists it as uncharacterized. NCBI's taxonomy places the organism in Eukaryota, Metazoa, Chordata, Mammalia, Rodentia, Cricetidae. The transcript is spliced from 7 exons. The record is from RefSeq and is a predicted model, not a curated record.